GGACUACUCGGGUAUCUAAUCCUGUUCGCUCCCCACGCUUUCGCUCCUCAGCGUCAGUAACGGCCCAGAGACCUGCCUUCGCCAUUGGUGUUCUUCCCGAUAUCUACACAUUCCACCGUUACACCGGGAAUUCCAGUCUCCCCUACCGCACUCAAGCCCGCCCGUACCCGGCGCGGAUCCACCGUUAAGCGAUGGACUUUCACACCGGACGCGACGAACCGCCUACGAGCCCUUUACGCCCAAUAAUUCCGGAUAACGCUUGCACCCUACGUAUUACCGCGGCUGCUGGCACGUAGUUAGCCGGUGCUUAUUCAACGGGUAAACUCACUCACGCUUGCUCCCCGAUAAAAGAGGUUUACAACCCGAAGGCCUCCAUCCCUCACGCGGCGUCGCUGCAUCA
This 400-nucleotide unclassified non-coding RNA is filed under the name uncultured fungus. RNAcentral describes it as "sequence contains ITS1". Lineage: Eukaryota; Fungi. The record is from RNAcentral.